UGACGCGCGUGUGGAAUCUUCUUUAAAAAUGGCAACAGAAUUUGACAGUUGAGUCAACGUUACUACAGGAGGUGAGUGCAACAUUUUGACAGCCCUAUCUCAAGCUUUUUUAAUGUUGACGUUUGUCAGAAACUAUACCUUAAAUGAUACAUAUCCUAAAUGGAAACGAGACGUUUUAACCAUAACGUUAACCUCAUUAUCAGAUAUAGGCUAUAGCAUACAACUAAAGGUUAGGUCAACGUGUCAUCGUUAGUGAACGUUAAUCUUAACUUUUUGUUUAACAUAACGUUAAUGUUAGAGCUUAGCCUUAUGUAGCCUACCGUUAGUUUGUUAAGUUAUAAGAUCGCAUUAUGCCUUGGCUUGUAUGCUAUGCUUAAACUGAAUGUUAGCCAAAUAUUCUGUUUAUUUUACUCCUUCAGCACAGACUUUUCAACUUCCCGUGUUUCCAACUCUCCUGAAAUGAAAGCUAACAUUAAUGGAGGAAGUCCUGACGUUCAUACUGCUGCACACAGAUUAGAAGCUAUUAAGGUAUCCAGUAUCAUGACAUUUGUGCUGCUGCUGUAUCUAAGCACACUUUCCUCCGGGAUCGCACAGGAUCAGGAUAUGCAUGUAAGUAGAUUAUUAUAAGUCAUAAACAUACAGGUAAGCAUAGUGGCUGUAGUGAGGGUCCUUUUUUAGUGCACCUAACAAAUAGGGAUAAUGGGAUGGGAUAUUCCUGUCAGGGGUAUUCAGGUUGUUGUAGUCUCUUCAGGUUGUUGGAUAACCUUUCAUAUUAUAGUUGGUUGGGAAUGCUAAAAACAAAUCAAGAAGGAGAGAAUCCCACCGAGCCUUCCUUAAAUUGGAUACCAUCGAGCAAAGCAUGGGAAAAGACAAAAUUCAUCACUCAAUGCAUCUGUAUCUCAAGCAGAAGCUUUCAGAAUUACACUUCACUGUGAUCCUUAUUGAUGUUUACUUUGAUUCCAGGACAAAACUCAAUCCACUGUGAGGGAAACUGCACUUUUUUUUUUUUUUUUUUCUAUUCACACAGAUGCCUGCUACCCAGGAUGCAAACACUGUAGUUCGGGUAUGGUGUGUGUGUGUGUGUGCGUGAUGUUCACUGAUGAUCUUUUUAAACUGACAGAUUGUAGAUGUUCUCGGUGAUGAAAGCUGAUCCAAAUCCAAUGACAAUGAGACAAAAAUGAAGGAGGAGUGUUGAAAAGUAAACCCUGAUCUAAAUACGAUUGAAAACAGAAUGAGGAGAACAAUCAAUGACAGAGUGGCAUUUAUUCAACGCCAGUCCACACAGGAAAUCCUUACCGAAUACCCAGCUUUACACCACAUUUGAACUGUUUUCUCUGAAAUUCAGCACCUGCAUAACAUUGACCUAAGUACCAAUCUGCACUAAAUCAGGCCUGUGAGGAAACAACCUACAAAUACAAAGCAGAGCGGCCAUAUCUGUUUGGGGACAAUCCUGACAGGCUCAUACGUUGUGGAUAAGAUAUCAAAGACACCCGCACCUACCCUAUGCAUGAGGCAACCCCUUCGAGGAAGACACCACCAUUACACUUUGCAUGGACGGACAAGACGUCAUAACACCAGAAGAUGUGUUGAUGGGCAUUGGAGCAUUGCUAGCAGUUUAUUUAAUUUUCAAUAUGGAAUACCCGAAGGCCGUGAACAAGACAUUGUUGUUUUACAGUCUAUGUGUGAUAUUAAGACAAAAGAAAAAAUCCCCAUUGCCGUAUUUUGGAUGUCAAAUUUCAUACUCUAAAUUAAAGGUCUCAUUCACUGAGAAACCAUUUAAUACGUGUUACUUUCGAAAUACUAUAGCUCACUCCAAGUUACAUAUGCAUGCUGUACGUGAAAAUUAUCUUCUACCCCCAUUGCCCGCAUUAGCCAAUGAAAGAAAAUACACAGAAAAACAAGCGAAUCAGAAAGAGCCC
Alosa alosa (allis shad) is the source of this 1919-nucleotide long non-coding RNA. RefSeq lists it as uncharacterized. NCBI's taxonomy places the organism in Eukaryota, Metazoa, Chordata, Actinopteri, Clupeiformes, Clupeidae. The transcript is spliced from 6 exons. The record is from RefSeq and is a predicted model, not a curated record.